UACAUUGGUGCAGCUUUCUUCCGGAUCUGAAAUGGUUCCAGAGAUCAUGGAAUACGACAACGAGACUGACACUGAC
RNAcentral lists this non-coding RNA (76 nucleotides) under Pelagodinium bei. Lineage: Eukaryota; Dinophyceae; Suessiales; Suessiaceae. The record is from RNAcentral.